RNAcentral lists this long non-coding RNA (159 nucleotides) under Monodelphis domestica (gray short-tailed opossum). RNAcentral describes it as "lncRNA (ENSMODG00000040882.1)". The record is from RNAcentral. Lineage: Eukaryota; Metazoa; Chordata; Mammalia; Didelphimorphia; Didelphidae.
AUUGCUACAAAAGGUGCCAGCCGAAUGAAGCUCCUUGGGAGUCAGAGCAAGAAGUGGAGAGAGAGUGAGGUGCAUGCAUGGAGGCAAGGAAGAUGGCGAAGAGCUUAGCUGGCAGUCACAAGUGUCCUGGUAGACAGCUGGAUGGGAAGUGAAACAUGG